UACGAAGGGGGCAAGCGUUGUUCGGAUUUACUGGGCGUAAAGGGCGCGUAGGCGGUCAGCACAAGUCAGUUGUGAAAUCUCCGGGCUUAACUCGGAAAGGUCAACUGAUACUGUGCGACUAGAGUGCAGAAGGGGCAACUGGAAUUCUCGGUGUAGCGGUGAAAUGCGUAGAUAUCGAGAGGAACACCUGCGGCGAAGGCGGGUUGCUGGGCUGACACUGACGCUGAGGAGCGAAAGCGUGGGGAGCGAACAGG
This 254-nucleotide ribosomal RNA is filed under the name uncultured bacterium. RNAcentral's name for it is "partial 16S ribosomal RNA". It matches the Rfam family "Bacterial small subunit ribosomal RNA", at positions 524 to 776 of the family's 1533-position model. The record is from RNAcentral.